RNAcentral lists this ribosomal RNA (405 nucleotides) under uncultured bacterium. RNAcentral's name for it is "bacterial SSU rRNA". It matches the Rfam family "Bacterial small subunit ribosomal RNA", at positions 355 to 776 of the family's 1533-position model. The record is from RNAcentral.
UGAGGAAUAUUGCACAAUGAGCGAAAGCUAGAUGCAGCAACGCCGCGUGGACGAUGAAGGCCUUCGGGUCGUAAAGUCCUUUUCAGGGGGAAGAGUGAGGACGGUACCCCUGGAAUAAGUCACGGCUAACUACGUGCCAGCAGCCGCGGUAAAACGUAGGUGGCGAGCGUUAUCCGGAUUCACUGGGCGUAAAGCGCCUGCAGGCGGUCUUGUAAGUGGGAUGUUAAAUCUCCCGGCUUAACUGGGAGGGGCCAUUCCAUACUGCGGGACUGGAGGGCAGAAGAGGGAAGCGGAAUUCCCGGUGUAGUGGUGAAAUGCGUAGAUAUCGGGAGGAACACCAGUGGCGAAGGCGGCUUCCUGGCCUGCUCCUGACGCUAAGAGGCGAAAGCUAGGGUAGCGAACGGG